GCAUAAUAAUUAGAUUUUUAAUUGGGGUCUGGAAUAAAUGGUAAUUACUAAGGGGUUUGUUUUUUUUUAUUAAUUUGAAUUUAAGUUAAAAGUAAAAAUGCUUUUAUUAAUCUCUGGGACGAGAAGACCCUAGAAGCUUAAAAUAAGUAUUUUUGUUGUUUUGUAAAGUAUUAUUUUUGAUUGGGGCAAUUUUUUGAAGAAAAAUUUUUGAAGUUUAAAAGUUACUCUAGGGAUAACAGCUUUAUUUAAUUAACAAGUUCUUAUUAAUAAUUAAGUUUGUGACCUCGAUGUUGAAUUAAUU
Molecule: ribosomal RNA, 301 nt
Filed under: Pachylospeleus strinati
Lineage: Eukaryota; Metazoa; Arthropoda; Arachnida; Opiliones; Gonyleptidae
Description: partial 16S ribosomal RNA
Source: RNAcentral